Molecule: long non-coding RNA, 1437 nt
Organism: Chelonia mydas (Green sea turtle)
Lineage: Eukaryota; Metazoa; Chordata; Testudines; Cheloniidae
Exons: 3
Source: RefSeq, a predicted model, not a curated record
AUUGCUUAGUAUCUAGGUUUUUUAGGCAUGUUUAGAGCAAUUGUAUACAUACCAUUUGGCCUUUCACUUUAAUAAAGGAAUUUAUGGUUAAAUUAGUGUUUGGUCGUUUACCACAUUAAUAUUAAUUCAAAUAUUCUUAAUAAUUCCAACACAUGGUAAAUACUAAACGGGAGCGGUACCAAGCACAGAGGGCAAUGUGAAAGAAGGCAUGAAACUGCGAAGGGAUGCUGGGAAUAAUCAAGAGAAAUUUCGGUGAAGCAUCCUGUUUGGGGGGAGGAGGAGACAGCAUAGGCAAGGCAAAGCUGUGCGUGGAAGUGAGAAAGAAAAGCAUGACUUUGAUACAAAAAGAAAAUGAAAGCCGGUAAAGAUAGCUAAGAAGGGGAUGGGUCAGGCAAGAAAGAACAGCAGUUUAUUUAAUGAGACCAAUGAGAAAGGGGUUACAAGAUCUGAGACAAGAUAUGGUCAAUGGGAGAGGCAAGAGAAAGAAGAAAAUAAAAAAUGACACACAGUUUCCGGGACUGACAGACCAAGAAGGCUGAUGAUGUCAUGGACAGAGAAGAGAGGAGAGGAGAGGUUUUGGGUGGGAAGAGAACAGGUUUAGACAUGAUGCUCUGAAUUCAGCCCAGAUGCACUGGGUACCAAUGAGGCUGUAACCACUUUAAAUCUGAUUUACUGGAGUUUGCAGUAGUAGUAUGUCACACAGGCUUGAGAAUUAAACUUGAAAGACAUAAUGUAGAGAGUGCAGAAAAGAGGACACCGAGGGCAGAGUCCUGGAGGAUAGAUGGAGAGGUGGCAACGGAACAGGCCACAAGGAAAAAACUCUUUAAGGACAGGUCAGUAUUCUAAAAGGAGAACUAGCAGGGGCAGACCUGAGCAGAAGUGUGCGGAGGAGAAUGAACUGAUCAACAGAAUGAAAAGAAGUGCAGAAAAUGAAAGAGAAAAGAAGAAGCUGAUCAACAUAACUAGGAAGUGGUCGUUAGUGAAUGUGGAUAGUGGAAAAUGAGAGCAUGUUUGAACACCGAGGGGAAGGAGCCAAGACAGACGGACAGCAGCUAAGAGAAAUGAAGCAGUGGGAAAAGACUGGACCAAAGCCACUAGUUCUGAGACUUUCAAAAAAAGAGAAGAAGAAGAUGAUGAGGCAGCCUGCUUACAACAUACCAUAUACCAGACUGACUGCACACUGAUUUCCUAUGAUUAAAGAAAAAGAAACAUCUGGUCUUAGGUACCUGACGAUCAAGGUCAACGUAAGCAUCAUUUCCAACAGAGACUGGAGAUUCUUUACUCAUCAACUGCAAUUAGAUUACACUGGAUUAGAAAAAGCAAAAGAUUUAUUUGUAUAUUAAAAGCUAAGUUUUCAUUUAUAAAAAAACCCAGAUCAAUCUUAAAUUUAAGAAAGGUUUGUUCUGAAGAUAAAGGCUUAAGUUUUCACAUCACAUU